GGAAAACCCAGCCCGGCCCAGCCCGUCCCUUCUUCACGUCUUCUGCUCUUCUUCACUACUUUGCAGCCUUCACUUCGCGUACUUCUCGUCCAUUGCGCGCGGCUGAUUCUUGACCCCCACACGCGCCUCAGAUUUGCACACACAUGCUCUGGAAUCCUCACAGUGCGUCUCCGCUCGGUGAACUCUCUGUGGGUUGCUGCAUUGUCGUUUCCGGUGCAGGAUUUGGUGCGGAACUUGGGGUGGGUGAGACGGUGGUUGCGAGGUGGCUGGUUUUUUUUUCUCGUAUAUCUUCUCGGGUCAGCAACGUUGCGGCCGUGAGUGAGUGAGUGGCAAGCUAGCCGGUGCAUGAGUGGAGUGUGCUCCCGUAGCGCAGCGUGGUUGCUUUUUUAAUGGAGUCUUGUUGAGGAGGCCUGCUUCUGCGGAGUUUUCGUGUUAGUGCUCGCCCUGGUUGGUGUUUGAUUUCUGGGUGCCGCCGCAAUCUGUCUUGGGAAUUUCGUCUCGCGGGUAUGGUUCUACGAGGAGCCUUCACGCAGUAGUUUAGUGGGUUUUGUGGUUUUGUGAGAGUUUCAUCUUUGAAGUGGUUCGCGUGCAAUGUAGGUGCGGGCAUCGUUCUAUGAACUUGCUUUUUUUCUGAGAGUUAGCAUCGUCAGGUAGCUUGCGGUAGUAAUCUACUCAUCCUCUUUUUUCUUUCGUGUCACGUUCUAUUGUCCGUCACGCAGCUCUUCGACCUCUGAUUCAAUGAUCGUGGUGCACCAUCGUGGUUUGUGCUCAAGAUUUUCAUUAUCAGUUUUUUGUGAAUGAACAAAAAAUUUGAUCGGUGGAUAUAGAUUUUCUAGUCGGAGUUACCAGGGAAGGUGAUAUCUGUAGGAAGUAGUGCUCGGACACAUUGUUGGCGUUGUGAAAUAAAAAAAAAUAAAGGCUAUAGUCAUGGUGGUCGUAGGUCCUCGCCCAAUUGUUGCCUCCUCUGCUCUUCCUUCCAAAACCAAGCCCCUGCAGCAGCAAUCGCAGGAGAAACAUCAGCAUUCCGAUAGUUGUGUUGCUCACGAGUAUAGCGUUGACAUGCGGAAAUUUAGAACUUCGAAUGCAGUUGACCGCUGCUUAGCGACGGAGUUGAAGGAAGUGAAAGAGUGUGUUGGAGUGAAUACUAAUUCGACAUCGUUGAAAUGCCCUCCCAUGACCUACGCUUUCGUCUAUGGGACCUUGAAGAAGGGCUUUUCGAACUACUGGCUCAUGGAGGAUGUGUGUUCCAAAGGCCAUGCCCGGUUCUUGGGCUUUGCCAGAACGAAAGAAAUGUUUCCCAUGGUUUGUGGACCCUAUCAAGUGCCGUUCUUGAUCGACAUUCCGUCCUUGGGCCAUCAUGUCCGAGGGGAGCUUUACGAGGUUGAUCGAAUUGCAAUUGAGCGCCUCGACGAGCUAGAAGGAGUCUCCAAGGGGAACUAUGUCCGGCGUCCAAUUGUGCUGUCGGCUCUUCAACUGCAAUCUUCUGUUGAGCAGGAAUCCCUAUCUUCGGAGAUAAUUGCACAGGCGUAUUUUGCAGCCCCGUCGUACGCUUCAAAGAUUGCGAAGGCACCUCAUAUUGAGGCCUUCACUGAGAAGGAAUACGCCACCUACGUGCGUAGGAAGGAUAGACCCCAGAAUCGCACGUUUUUGCAGCACAUCGAGCACUGGAUCAAGACACAGGAGAUGGCCAGAAAAAAUUGAAGCUUCCUCUAAAAUUUUGAUGUCGUGGUCUGCAUCAGGUUAAUCUCUGAUGUUCAAUGGCUAGUGUUUGGAGGAGCUUUCUUCUUCCUCUUUUCUUGUUUUUCCCUACAAUUCUUACCAAUCGUUUGGAUAGAAUAGUGGUCAGACGUUUUGCAUUCUCCUUUCUCAAUUGAGUAUCCUUGCAACUAUUACAGUAGUCAUCGGUAUCAUCCUACUCAAAGAGGAUGAAGGGGAAGAGAGAUCACAUGAUGGGAACUCACAGGCGGGUUCACAGCAAACAUGUGAAGCUUCGAAGCAGGCAAGAGCAAGUGUAAAUUAAUAUACUGGUAGGCAAUUUGGAGAACGAUCCAUUGGUGCAGUAACUACCGGAAACCGUAAGAAAUGACAAAGAGCUUCUGAAAUCUCUGUAUAGUCAUGGCUUGACUGAGUCAAUGUUCCUGGUUUCAGAUUCUACAUUUGGUGUGUUCCGUGUGUAACUGCUUCAUGAGCUUGGUGGUUGUUUUCGUGCCUCACAACCUCAGAUUAUGCAUCAUUUACAGGAGCAGCAUGACACUCUGGUGAGUAGGAAGAAAUAGCUUUGAUAAAUUGUUGUACCUUUCAUUUGUAGCCAUCCAAUUUCAUAAGAAUUGUACACCAUGUCAUGCCCUACAAGGUCAUGUUCAAGGUCCACGGCUCUGCAGAACUGCCCCUGUAAUGCUCUAUCUUGUACCUUACAAGGGGUACAGUUCUACAGAAUUGGUCCUGAUGGAGCUGGACUAUUCAUUUAUCAAAAAAAGGUGGACUGUACCAUGUGAUGUUUCCCCA
Physcomitrium patens is the source of this 2505-nucleotide non-coding RNA. NCBI's taxonomy places the organism in Eukaryota, Viridiplantae, Streptophyta, Bryopsida, Funariales, Funariaceae. The record is from RefSeq and is a predicted model, not a curated record.